RNAcentral lists this transfer RNA (85 nucleotides) under Phycisphaerae bacterium. Its description in RNAcentral is "tRNA-Leu". It matches the Rfam family "tRNA". From Rfam's summary of the family: Transfer RNA (tRNA) molecules are approximately 80 nucleotides in length. Their secondary structure includes four short double-helical elements and three loops (D, anti-codon, and T loops). Further hydrogen bonds mediate the characteristic L-shaped molecular structure. tRNAs have two regions of fundamental functional importance: the anti-codon, which is responsible for specific mRNA codon recognition, and the 3' end, to which the tRNAs corresponding amino acid is attached (by aminoacyl-tRNA synthetases). tRNAs cope with the degeneracy of the genetic code in two manners: having more than one tRNA (with a specific anti-codon) for a particular amino acid; and 'wobble' base-pairing, i.e. permitting non-standard base-pairing at the 3rd anti-codon position. The record is from RNAcentral. Lineage: Bacteria; Pseudomonadati; Planctomycetota; Phycisphaerae.
GCGGAUGUGGCGGAACUGGCAGACGCGCAAGGUUCAGGUCCUUGUGGGCGAUAAGCUCGUGGAGGUUCGACUCCUCUCAUCCGCA